CUGUCUCUACUGACAAUAGGCAUUUUUGCUUAUUAUUGACAGUUUGCAUAUGUGUUUCCACAUGUGCUUUCCUGAUUUUUCAGAUUAAUUCUAUCAAUGGCUUAAAAUCCUGCUGUGGUUCUCCUGAACUAUUCUGUUUUUCCCUGAGGACUCUGGUUCCUUCCUGUAUGGUCUGCUGUCUUUUGCUGUUUUACCUUUUUGCAUUGUAUGUCUGAAAGCUCCUGAAGAAACUCGUCGGAGU
Long non-coding RNA from Rana temporaria (common frog), 241 nucleotides. RefSeq lists it as uncharacterized. NCBI's taxonomy places the organism in Eukaryota, Metazoa, Chordata, Amphibia, Anura, Ranidae. The transcript is spliced from 3 exons. The record is from RefSeq and is a predicted model, not a curated record.